GCCGCGUGUGUGAAAAGGUCUUCGGAUUGUAAAGCACUUUAAGUUGGGAGGAAGGGCAGUAAGUUAAUACCUUGCUGUUUUGACGUUACCGACAGAAUAAGCACCGGCUAACUCUGUGCCAGCAGCCGCGGUAAUACAGAGGGUGCAAGCGUUAAUCGGAAUUACUGGGCGUAAAGCGCGCGUAGGUGGUUCGUUAAGUUGGAUGUGAAAGCCCCGGGCUCAACCUGGGAACUGCAUCCAAAACUGGCGAGCUAGAGUAUGGUAGAGGGUGGUGGAAUUUCCUGUGUAGCGGUGAAAUGCGUAGAUAUAGGAAGGAACACCAGUGGCGAAGGCGACCACCUGGACUGAUACUGACACUGAGGUGCGAAAGCGUGGGGAGCAAACA
This 385-nucleotide ribosomal RNA is filed under the name Pseudomonas sp. 4CBAI5. RNAcentral's name for it is "bacterial SSU rRNA". It matches the Rfam family "Bacterial small subunit ribosomal RNA", at positions 396 to 774 of the family's 1533-position model. The record is from RNAcentral. Lineage: Bacteria; Pseudomonadati; Pseudomonadota; Gammaproteobacteria; Pseudomonadales; Pseudomonadaceae.